This 86-nucleotide transfer RNA is filed under the name Micromonosporaceae bacterium. RNAcentral's name for it is "tRNA-Ser". It matches the Rfam family "tRNA". From Rfam's summary of the family: Transfer RNA (tRNA) molecules are approximately 80 nucleotides in length. Their secondary structure includes four short double-helical elements and three loops (D, anti-codon, and T loops). Lineage: Bacteria; Bacillati; Actinomycetota; Actinomycetes; Micromonosporales; Micromonosporaceae. RNAcentral also lists the same sequence under 1 other name. The record is from RNAcentral.
GGAGGAUUCGCCUAGCGGCCUAGGGCGCACGCUUGGAAAGCGUGUUGGGUUAACAACCCUCACGAGUUCGAAUCUCGUAUCCUCCG